UCAAACAAGCCUCAAUGCGGCACAGGACAAGAUUUGAUUGCGACUUCGGGUUCAUGCUGUUAUUCUCGGUGUCAGAAAGCCUGCUUGAUGGACUAGGAACUAAAGUUCGUUGCAUGUUUCUAGGGGGGACGUUUAGUUUAUGGGACCUGCUGUUAUGUUCUCCAUCAUUGCUAGCUCCUGCUGAUGUUGUUUUCUGUAAUGCGUUCAUCUUAUACAAGUAAGUUUUAAUCUGAAACAUCUAAUACUUAUGUAACAUGCAUGCUGAUACUAAUUUGAGGUCUAUAUCGCCUAUAAUGUUCCGCUAUAGCGGUUAUUUGCGGCCGCGAUUGCCGCGAUAAUUCUGCUGAGUCAUCCCCAUUAAGCCAGAGCUAUAAAUAGCCGUUAUGGACGUCCGAUCAGCGUGCUUGCUCAUAUGAACGGACAUUUUUUAGACUGUUGUUGCUAAUUAGACUGUCACAUUCCUAACAGACAUUACUGUUAUUAUGUUUGAGUUUAAUAUGCACAUUUAUGAUGAAUGUUAUUGUUGCAGUGUAUUGUUUUAGUCAAUGUUAAUGACAAUUCAUAGUCAAUACUAUUUGUAAUUAUUUCUUUAUUUGUUUUUCCUUUGUAGACCAUUACAUCUUAUUCAUUUCUCACUACCAUUACCCAUAAUUGAGCAAUCUGAUGAUUAUGUUGAAGAAAAUAAAUAUUUCAAACGUCAACACUUCUCCUGCCCUCCUGAUUCUCUGACCGGAAUCUGGUCCAUAUUUGGCCGCCUCAACCAGUGGAAAAUUUACAUGUAGUAAGGUUUACUACAUUAUUAUGGUCCUUCGAGCCGGAUUGAGAGCAAUAUAAAACCAGUAUGGACCGAACAGGAAGUGACACUGAGAAAAUGGACAGACCCCACCGCAGGACACAUCUGCCACCUCACCUGGAUGAUUAUGAAGUUGAUUACCAACCUAUACAGGACCCUCCCCCAAAAGCUUCUACAACCUGUCCCAGUCAUUCUAGAAGCAGCUCGAGGAAAACGUCCCGCAGUGGUAUCAGCUCUCAUUCUAGGACGAGUAGACGUUCUGUUACCUCCACUGGUGUUUAUCUCCCACCAGAACUCUCUAGUGUCCAGACAGCUGUUUUGGAGGAGAAGAUUAAGCAGAGACAGUUUGAUAGUCUACAGCAGCAGGUACAGGAGGACUCACUAGCUGAUGUGGAAUAUCAGCGCCUGCAGACACAAGCAAAGGAAGCUCAGCGUAUUCAGGAGGAGGCUCUUGCAGCUAAGGAAGCUUUGUCCAAGCAUCUAGAGAGACAGCGGAAACUACAACAGGCAGAGACUGAGCUUGAGGUAGCCAAACUUGUAUCUUCAAUGCUUAUUACAAACUCUGGUUCAAACACUCCCAGGCCUUCAGGCUCACCAGACAGCCCAUCACCGCCACCUCAACCUGAUCAUACUAAUGCAUCCAGGAGUCCACAGUCUACCUCCUCUUCUCAGCUUCCACCUCCGCUACCAACAGUCACAUCAUGUGAUGACAUUUCACAGCUGUCACUUAGACCACUGGCGCUAACAUUACCUACCACCACAGUGAGUGUUUCCUCUCCUUCAACAUUCCCGUUAUUACAAGCAGUCUUAUCAUCAGUCGUUACAGUAUCUGAGACUGCCCCUAAAACUAUGCCAUUAAACACAGUGACAUCAGCUCCACAUGUGACACAUCAGCCUUUCUCUGUAGCGACAGUUAUGUCCACUAUUGGCCAGUCUAUGAGUAGAAGAGGGCCAUCUGUACCAAAGCAGUCUAACACUGCCCCACUGACAAUGAAUAUGAAUCCAUAUGUGAUGCAGCAGUCAUUCAUACCUCCAGUGAGCACACACGGAUAUCAGCAGCAACCUCCAAUCACCAGCCAGCAGGCCUCAGCUCCGCCACCUAAUGUCAGAUCUGCUCAGCCACAUUCAUUCAUGCCUCUUCCCCACACAUACCCUGGUACAGAGCUACUGUUUGCCUCAGCUUAUGGCAUACCACAACCCAAGCUACCAGUAUUUGAGAGUGGUAAUGAAAGUGACUUUGCCUUGUUAAAACUGGCCCUAGAUAAUUUGCUAAGUAAUCACAGCUAUCUUAGUGAGCAGUAUAAAUAUCAUGUACUGUUAAGUCAUUUGAAGCUACCCAGCGCACAGCAGCUAGCGAAAGCUUAUAUGUAUCAUUCACAUCCAUACUCAGCUGCACUACAAGCACUUCAGGACAAGUACGGACAGCCAAGACAACUCGUACAGUCAGAGCUGGGUGCCAUCAUGAAUAGCCCACCACUUAGACUGGGUGAUGCUAAUGCCUUUGACAGCUUCGCAUUAUCAGUACAGUCAUUAGUAGGCAUGUUGAGGACCCUUGAAGGUCAAAAUGGGUACGAGUUAAUGUGUGGCUCUCAUGUGGAUCGACUACUCAGCAAGUUACCACCUGCCUAUCGUGACAGCUUCGUUGAGUACUGUCUAAGCCGGGGUAUCCUCCAGACAGGCACAGACAGAACCUAUACACUCCCCGAUCUGGCCACCUGGUUAGAGAUUAAGUCCCAGGCGAAGCGAAUUUCCAACCGAGCUGCAGCUUUGUUCCCGAGUGACCUAGCCAAGCCUCAAGGUAAACCCACAACAUAUUCCCGACCAAAGGAGCGAUUCACACCUGUCUUGUUGACCAGUGAGAGGAGCAUAAACCGUCCUGAUACUGCAGCACAGAGAUCUAGCACAAAGGUUAAGCCCAGGCCAUAUUGUCCCCAUUGUGAUAGCCGAGACCAUUACCUGAAUGCAUGUGAACAGUUUAAGAAACUAACUACAGCUCAAGUUACCACCUGGAUAAGAGAAGGAAAGCGCUGCUGGAGGUGUGGUCGAACUCAUGACGUGGGGGUCUGCAACCUUAAGCGCCUAUGCAGUGUCUGCAAAGAGUUACAUCUUACAGUUCUACAUGAUUCAGUUCAAGACACUUCUAGAGCUGUUCUCAUGGUCAGUUUGCCACCUACAAGAAUUUAUCUGGAUCGACCCAACCGUUCCCCUAAGGUCAUGCUGAAAGUUGUUAAAGUCCUGCUACACAGUGGUCGAAAAACUAUGGAAACCCAUGCCGUUCUCGAUGAUGGAUCAGAGAGAACUCUAGUGCUCCAGCCAGUUGUGCAACAGCUUCAAUUAUCUGGUACCCCUGAACUGCUCUCGCUGCAGACCAUUCACCAGUGUCACACUGAACUUAUAGGAUCAUCUGUGUCUUUUGAGGUGUCAUCUGUAUCCAAUCCCUCAAAGAAGUUUGCGAUACACAACGCAUUCACUGCCCCAGGUCUGUGUCUAGCGGAACACCAUUACCCAGUGGCUGCUCUGCAAAGGGCUUAUAGACACCUAAAAGAUUUGCCACUGCCUCCCAUGGAUAAAGUGAGACCACUGCUCCUCAUUGGGUCCGACAUGCCGCAUCUCCUGACACCAGUUCAGCCUGUAUGCAAGGGCCCACCAGGGGGACCCAUCGCUGUUCGUACACAACUUGGAUGGUCUCUCCAAGGCCCAAUGAGCCCGAUGCAGCCCUCAAGAGGAAGUCAGCAGUGUCUUCAUAUUAUGUCAGUUCCCACCUGUGAUAACCUGUUUCAACAUGUGGAGAGACUCUGGCAGGUGGACACACUCCCAUACAACACCAAGAUGGUUACCAGGUCCAAACAGGACAAGGAGGCUUACACUUUGCUGCAGAAUGCAACCGUCAGAGUGACUGUGGACUGUGUACGACGAUAUGCUACACCAUUACUGAGACGGACCCCCCGAACCUUGCUCCAAGCAGAUAAGACAGCUGUUCUCCCAAGUUUACGUCGUACUGAGCGUACCCUUGAAAGGGAUCCUGAUAGGGCCAAAAUCUACUGCAGUGAGAUUUCUAAAUUGGAGUCAGCUGGUUAUGUGGCAAAAAUAACGGCAGAGGAAGCAAACCAAAGUGAAGAGUCCUGGUUCAUUCCGCACCACAUGGUGCACCAUAAUGGUAAAGACAGAAUUGUCUUCAACUGCUCUUUCCAACACCAUGGACAGUCUUUGAAUGAUCAGCUGCUGCCGGGGCCCACGUUGGGACCAUCCUUAUUAGGUGUCCUCCUGAGAUUCCGCCAGCACACAGUUGCUAUCAGUGGGGACAUCAAAGGUAUGUUCCACCAGGUCCGUUUGUUGCCAGGAGACAAAUCUGUACUACGUUUCCUCUGGAGAGGAAUGUGCAGAGAAGUAGAACCUGAAAUAUAUGAAUGGCAGGUGCUUCCAUUUGGCACAACGUGCAGUCCCUGUUGUGCCAUUCAUGCCCUCCAACACCACGUCCAAGAGCACAAAGAAGGUAAAACUGAAUUGGUGGAUAUUGUGGAACAUUCCUUUUAUGUUGACAACUGCCUUCAUAGUGUACCAACGGCGAGUGAGGCUAAAGUGAUAGUAGAUGGAUUACGCCAGCUCCUUUCUGAAGGUGGCUUUGAAAUUAGACAGUGGGCAUGCAAUGUACCAUCCGUAACUGAACACCUACCUUCAGAUGCCAGGUCCGCAAGUAGCGAGCGCUGGUUAGCACAAAGCAGCACUGAUCUUCAGGAGCCCACUCUUGGGUUGCGGUGGGAUUGCAUCAAUGACACCUUGGGGUACAACUUGCGUUCUGUGGAGAAUGUUGAACCUACCCUGAGGAACAUGUAUAAAACUUUGGCGAGUCAAUACGACCCUUUAGGGUUCAUUACACCAUUCACUACUAGAGCCAAGGUUAUCAUCCAGGACCUCUGGAAGCACAACCUUGGUUGGGAUGACCCCAUAGAGCCAUCACAUUUGAGAGAUACUUGGCUUUCCUGGGUAGAGGAACUCCCUACACUUACCAAGAUACAUUUCCCUCGGGCAUAUACCCCAGCCGCUGCUGACAACCCAUCGGCUAUACGAGAGCUUCAUGUCUUCAGUGAUGCAUCGGAAAGAGCCUAUGGUUCAGUGGCCUAUCUACGCACCACCGAUGAGCAAGGACAAAUCCAUAUUACCUUUGUCUCGGCCAGGUCUAGAGUCGCGCCUCGCAAAUGCCUAUCUGUACCACGUUUGGAGUUAUGUGCUGCCCUUACUGGGGCCCAAUUGGGGAAAGUAAUCCAAACUGAGUUGACGCUACCAAUCCACAAGGUCACUUUCUGGUCUGAUUCUACAACAGUGUUGUAUUGGUUAACAUCCGAAUCCUGCCACUACAAAGUGUUUGUAGGGACACGGGUGGCAGAAAUACAGACUUUAACAGAGAUGGCUGAGUGGAAGUAUGUUGAGUCACAUCACAACCCUGCUGACCACAUCACACGAGGCCUUACCCUAACAGAGAUAGCAGGCCCCCAUCAAUGGAGCUCAGGUCCAGCCUUCCUGAUCCAGUCACCUGAUCAAUGGCCAUCAAUGCCCCAAACUAAAGCUGAACCUGAUUGCAAUGAGCUGAAGAAAUCAGCCUUUAUCGGAACUGCUUCAUCACCCAGUGUUUCUCUACCAGUUCCAGGCAACUUCCACACAUGGCAAGAGCUUGUUAAAGCCACUAGUAAAUCCCUACAUGGGGCGGCUGCCGACACAGACUCCUCUAUAAAGGCCUCCGAGUAUAUUGAAGCAGAAAAGUUACUUCUGGCACAGGCUCAGAUGGACUCCUUCCCUAUGGAAGUUCAACAUCUAAAGGCUGGACAUCCUGUUUCACCAAACAGUCGCUUAGGUUCACUUGCUCCAGAAUAUGAUGAUGCUACUGGUCUCAUUAGAGUGGGAGGGCGACUACGACGUGCCACUGAUCUCGACUUGGAGGCCAUACACCCAAUCAUAUUAGACCCUAGCCAUCAUAUUACAAAAUUGUUGAUCAAAGAAACGGACCAACAACUCCUUCACCCUGGCUCAGAGAGGGUUCUGGCAGAAUUGCGCCGCCAGUAUUGGAUCCUUCGAGGUCGACAAGCAGUUCGUAAGCAUCAGCAUACCUGUCAAGAUUGUCAGAUAUGGCGAGCCAAACCUCAAACUCCACGAAUGGCAGAUCUCCCCCCCUGCAGAUUAAAUCUGUAUAAGCCACCUUUUUAUUCUACGGGUGUGGACUGCUUUGGACCAUAUGCAGUCAAGAUUGGACGCCGACAGGAGAAAAGAUGGGGGAUCAUUUACAAAUGUCUAACAACACGUUGUGUACAUCUGGAUCUGUUGGAGCAUAUGGACAGUGAUGCUUUCCUUCUUUCCCUGCGCCGUUUUAUAGCCCGACGAGGCAAACCUAUGGAGCUAUUGUGCGAUAAUGGCACCAACUUUAUCGGAGGUGAUCGAGAGUUACGUGAAUCCUUUGAGGCCAUGUCACCAAAGCUACAGGAACAGUUGGCAGAGCAGAAAAUCAGUUUUCGCCAUAACCCCCCAAACGCUCCUCACUUCGGAGGGACUUGGGAGCGUGAGAUAAAAUCAGUUAAGACAGCACUCCAAGUAAUCCUCAGAGAGCAGUCAGUGCCAGAACCAGUUCUGCAAACCCUUCUGGUGGAGGUGGAAAACAUUCUAAACUCCAAACCACUCGGAUACGUAUCUUCAGAUAUCGCGGAUGUAGACCCUGUGACUCCUAACCUACUGCUCAUGGGUCGCCGAGAUGCCUCGUUACCCCAGGUCUUGUAUGAUUCUAGUAACCUGCUUGGAAGACGAAGGUGGAGGCAUAGUCAGGUGCUAGCAGAUUGUUUCUGGACUACCUUUAUCCGUCAAUACCUACCAAGCAUGCAAGGCCGUCAAAAGUGGACAACUGAUGGGAAGGAACUGGCAGUAGGACAAGUUGUACUUGUGAUAGAUCCACAGCUUCCACGUUCCCAUUGGCCUGUUGGAACUGUAACAGAGGCUUUACCUGGAGCUGAUGGCCGCAUUCGAGUGGUCAGAAUCAAGGUUAAGGACAAAACAUACACCCGUCCAGUCGUGCGACUGAUCCCACUUCCUCCUCUUGAGGACAAUGACACGAGCACCCCUGACAGACUUUCUUAAGGUUCAAUUAUCUCGUCAGAUAAUUGGGGGCGGCUGUGUCAGAAAGCCUGCUUGAUGGACUAGGAACUAAAGUUCGUUGCAUGUUUCUAGGGGGGACGUUUAGUUUAUGGGACCUGCUGUUAUGUUCUCCAUCAUUGCUAGCUCCUGCUGAUGUUGUUUUCUGUAAUGCGUUCAUCUUAUACAAACCAUUACAUCUUAUUCAUUUCUCACUACCAUUACCCAUAAUUGAGCAAUCUGAUGAUUAUGUUGAAGAAAAUAAAUAUUUCAAACGUCAACACUUCUCCUGCCCUCCUGAUUCUCUGACCGGAAUCUGGUCCAUAUUUGGCCGCCUCAACCAGUGGAAAAUUUACAUGUAGUAAGGUUUACUACAC
Molecule: non-coding RNA, 7281 nt
Organism: Danio rerio (zebrafish)
Lineage: Eukaryota; Metazoa; Chordata; Actinopteri; Cypriniformes; Danionidae
Source: RefSeq, a predicted model, not a curated record